CGCACAAGCGGUGGAGCAUGUGGUUUAAUUCGAAGCAACGCGAAGAACCUUACCAGGUCUUGACAUCCUUUUGAAUGGUCUAGAGAUAGAUCAGGCCUUCGGGACAGAAGAGACAGGUGGUGCAUGGUUGUCGUCAGCUCGUGUCGUGAGAUGUUGGGUUAAGUCCCGCAACGAGCGCAACCCUUAUCAUUAGUUGCUAACAUUCAGUUGAGAACUCUAAUGAGACUGCCAGUGAUAAACUGGAGGAAGGUGGGAUGACGUCAAAUCAUCAUGCCCCUUAUGACCUGGGCUACACGCGUGCUACAAUGGCCGGUACAAAGAGUUGCGAAACUGUGAAGUUAAGCUAAUCUCAUAAAGCCGGUCUCAGUUCGGAUUGUAGUCUGCAACUCGACUACAUGAAGUCGGAAUCGCUAGUAAUCGCGAAUCAGAAUGUCGCGGUGAAUACGUUCUCGAGCCUU
This 458-nucleotide ribosomal RNA is filed under the name uncultured Bacillota bacterium. Its description in RNAcentral is "bacterial SSU rRNA". It matches the Rfam family "Bacterial small subunit ribosomal RNA", at positions 922 to 1382 of the family's 1533-position model. The record is from RNAcentral. Lineage: Bacteria; Bacillati; Bacillota.